UUUAUAUCUCAUAUAAUAUUCAUCCAUAAUCUUUUCAUAUAAGUUUAAAUGUGAUCUUGAAAAAAAUGCAUGCAUGUAUUGCCUACGCGUUCGAUAAAAACAUGCAACGAGAUGUCACGGCAAAUUAAAGCAUAUAAUAUUGGUCAUGCACAAGUGCGUGAGAAUUGCAACUUUUUCCACGCAUUGAUCGUUAGAUCAUUGAUUUGUAUUUAAAAAGUAUCCGCAACAAAAUUUGUAACUAACAAUUAAAGUUAAGUUCAUUAUAAAUGCAAAAUAUGUCCACUUUUAUUUCAAUUCGUAUUAUAAAUAUUCCAUUGUAUCUAAUAUGAAACAGUAACAUCAUGUAUUAAAAAAAUGGCAUGAUGUUGUUCAUCUAUUUUUCGUAAUUUAAAAUUCUUUAAGAGAAAUUUCUCGUCGAGGAUUCUACUACGCCUUUAUGCGACGCAAUAGCGCAGUCAUAAUUUCUUUAAAUAGAUCGUGGUUGCACCGGUUUAUCCUUCGUAUUAAUGGCGCUUGACAACUUGUUUGAGAUUUUUUAGCGACUUUAACCGACGAGACGCAGUCCAUUUAAUUAUCCUGCAAGAUAAUCGUCGUUCUACACGUACACUCGUGCCAAAUAGCAAGUGGUGCGGGCUGUAUCACGAUUAUAUGUAAUUUCGACGUGGCGAUUAAAUUCUUUUUUUUAGAUCGAGAUAUCAAGAAAGCCAUGAGUCAGAAGAGUAUGUAGAAUCGUGAUUCGCGUAAAUUAUUCUCAGAAGAUCGACAUUUUGAAGGAGUCACAACACGAUUAGGUAUUCCAGGGAACACAAGGCCUAUGACUUAACCCAUUAUCGUGGUAUGGGACGUGGGCGUCGAAUGGAGAUUCGAAGCGCGAGACAUUUACAAUUACGUUGCAUUGUGGGGAGAUACAAAAGAAUGUUAAUGCGAGUGUGGUGAGAUACCGCUAUAUACGCGCUAUUUAUAAAUCAUCGGCCUCGUGACAGAAAAAAGCAACGCAAAAAUUUUAACCUAGUAUAAAUUUUAAGUUUUUUCUAAUUAUGAAUAGCAUUAUAUAUUUGUUAAUGAUGAAGAAAGAGAUAUAGAGAAUUUCAAUAAAAUUCCAAGAAGAAGAAAACUAUU
Temnothorax curvispinosus is the source of this 1119-nucleotide long non-coding RNA. RefSeq lists it as uncharacterized. The record is from RefSeq and is a predicted model, not a curated record. The transcript is spliced from 3 exons. Lineage: Eukaryota; Metazoa; Arthropoda; Insecta; Hymenoptera; Formicidae.